This 20979-nucleotide long non-coding RNA is filed under the name Malus domestica (apple). RNAcentral's name for it is "long non-coding RNA (MDOM_LNC003004)". Lineage: Eukaryota; Viridiplantae; Streptophyta; Magnoliopsida; Rosales; Rosaceae. The record is from RNAcentral.
UUGUAGGAAUUUUCCCCUUACUUCAGAGAUUUAUUGCACCUCAUUUCUCCUUCAACAUUUCUGAGAAUGUCUGGCCCAUCCGACCGUCGUUUUGACUUGAACUUUAGUGAAGUGGCAGCCAUGCCUUCUCAAGACAACAUAUGGCGCCCAUCCUUCUUAUCCCCUACUGGUCCUCUUACCGUUGAGGACUCUGUGAUGAAGAAUGAUAUGACCGCUGUAGUGGUGGCCAGGAACCUUCUCACUCCCAAAUAUAACAGACUACUUUCCAAACGGUCUGAUGAGUUGGCUAUUAAGGAUUCUCUGGCUCUUAGUGUUCAGUGUGCAGGUUCUGUGUCUAAUAUGGCCCAACGCCUAUUUGCUCGAACCCGUCAAGUUGAAUCAUUGGCGGUUGAAGUGAUAAGUCUCAAACAGGAGAUCAAAAGGCUCAAGCAUGAGCAUAAACAGUUGCACAGGCUCGCAUAUGACUAUGCUACAAACAUGAAGAGGAAGCUCGACCAGCUGUAGAAAUCUGAUGGUCAGAUUUUAUUUGAUCAUCAGAGGUUUGUGGGUUUGUUCCAAAGACAUUUAUUGCCUUCGUCUUCUGGGGUCGUACCGCGUAAUGAAGCUCUAAAUGAUCAACCUUCGGUGCCUCCUUCUUCUGGUGUUCUGCCUAGUACUAAGGCUCCGAAUAAUCACCCUCUGGUGCCUCAUCUUUCUAGGGCUCUGCCGACUGCUGAGACUUCUCCUGAACAACCUUUGUGAAGGAUCCCUUUUGUUUGUUUAUUUUGAUUCAUGUAUAUGUACAUAUUUGUAACUUAUCGGAGAUAUCAAUAAACAAGCUUUGCUUCAUUUCAACGUAUUGUGUUAAACACACCAAGGCUUUCUUCACUAAGUUCUUUGAAUAUUUCCUUUUGUUGAAGCUUGUAUGUUGAAGCUUUGUGAGUGAAGCAUGUAGGUUGAGGUAGUGCUCCCUUAACUUCCUGAGUGAGGAAAACUUCUCGGUUAGAGACUUGAAAAAAUCCAAGUCAUUGAAUGGUCGUGAGACUUCUGAGUAUCAAGGUGUAGUAGCAUAUUCUAGUAGCCAAGUUUCCAAAGUAAUAAAACGUCACCAUUUUCCUUUCUAAGUGGUAGCCGAAAACUUCUCCUUCAUAUAUAUUUGUUAUGAAAGUUGUUAGGCCCAAAGAAGAGGAGGCCUAGGCAAUUUUUUUUUUUUGAAUUUUCGAAUUUUCGAAUAUAUAGGUGAAGCUUUGAGGUUGAAGUUUUGUUGGGUACCAUGAAUUGAUUUUGCUUCACACUAUCUUGAUCAAGAUAGUGUGAAGCUUUUAUAGGUGAAGCUUUUGUGUUGAAGCUUUGUAGGUGAAGCUUUUGUUGGUAAAGCUUUUGGGGUGGGUGAAGCUUUUGUUGGUGAAGCUUUUGUGGUGAAGGAAACUUUUGUGGUAAGGGAAGCUUUUGUUGGUGAAGCUUUUAUGGGUGAAGGUUUUGUGGUGGGUGAAGCUUUUAUGGGUGAAGCUUUUGUGGUGGGUGAAGCUUUUGUUGGUGAAGCUUUUAUGGGUGAAGCUUUUGUAGAUGAAGCUUUUGUGGUGGGUGAAGCUUUUGUGGGUGAUGCUUUUGUGGUGGGAGAAGCUUUUGUGGGUGAAGCUUUUGUUGGUGAAGCUUUUAUGGGUGAGGCUUUUGUAGGUGAAGCUAUUGUGCGUGAUGCUUUUGUAGGUGAAAUUUUAGAGUUGAAGCUUUUGUGGGUGAAGCUUUUGUGGGUGAAGCUUUUGUUGGUGAAGCUUUUAUGGGUGAAGCUUUUGUAGGUGAAGCUAUUGUGGGUGAAGCUUUGUAGGUGAAGUUUUGGAGUUGAAGCUUUUGUGGGUGAAGCUUUUGUUGGUGAAGCUUUUAUGGGUGAAGCUUUUGUAGGUGAAGCUAUUGUAGGUGAAGCUUUGGAGUUGAAGCUUUGUAGGUGAAGCUUUAGAGUUGAAGUUUUGUAGGUGAAGCUUUGGAGUUGAAGCUUUUGUUGGGUACCAUGAAUUGGUUUUGCUUCACACUAUCUUAAUCAAGAUAGUGUGAAGCUUUUGAGAAUUUGUAGUUGUCAUCCAUUGAUGAAGCUUUGUUGAAUUUCCCUUUCUUUCUUUCUUUUUUUUUUUUUUUUUUUUUUUUUGGGAAACUAGAAAUUUGAAAAUGUGGGAGAGACAACAUAUACAAAUUUUGCUUCCACACUGUUGAGCAAGAGAUUGUGAUGCAAGCCACACCUUGUAGUAGUCGAAUGUUUGUAUGAACCAUAUAAAUUGAUUUUGCUUCGAAUAGUCUUGAAUUUGCUUCGAAGGUUUGAGAAUUGUAGUUGCCCUCCAUUGAUGAAGCUUUUGUUGGCACUAUAAAUUGGUUUUGCUUCACAUUGUCUUGAUCAAGAGUUGUGAAGCUUUUGAGAAUUGUGGUUGACCUUCAUUGAUAAAGCUCUUGUUGGCACCAUAAAUUGGUUUUGCUUCACACUUUCUUGAUCAAGAGUGUGUGAAGCUUUUGAGAAUUGUGGUUGAACUCCUUUGAUGAAGCUCUUGUUGGCACCAUAAAUUAGUUUUGCUUCACAUUGUUGAUCAAGAGUGUGUGAAGCUUUUGAGAAUUGUGGUUGCCCUCAAUUGAUGAAGCUCUUGUUAGCACCAUAAAUUGGUUUUGCUUCACACUAUCUUGAUCAAGAAUGUGUGAAGCUUUUGAGAAUUAUGGUUAAACUCCUCUGAUGAAGCUUUUGUUGGCACUAUAAAUUGGUUUUGCUUCACACUGUCUUGAUCAAGAGUGUGUGAAGCUUUUGAGAAUUGUGGUUGAACUCCUUUGAUGAAGCUCUUGUUGGCACCAUAAAUUGGUUUUGCUUCACACUGUCUUGAUCAAGAGUGUGUGAAGCUUUCUAUGAGUUGUAGUGUUUGCAUUGUUACAGAGGGGAAAUGUCUGAAGCAGAUGCAAGAGGGCUAAAUAGCUUGAUCUUCGCAUGCCAUGCACUGAAGUUGUUAUUGGCUUGCAAUAAGACUUUGUUGGUGACUAUAACUCUUGUUGGGCAUAAGUGCUCCCCUAGUUGAGUUGUUAAGCUUGAGGGUUUUUUAUUAUAUGUGAAUGCUAGGAGUUCACAUGUACAAGUUGUACCACUCAUCUUCUGGUAGGUGGAAUGAUUGGUGAGUUACUUUCAUCACUUGGUUGGUGGUACGAAGGUGAGUUCCUUCAUCACCUUUCAUCAAUUUCAUCACCUGGUAGGUGGCACGAGGAUGAGUUCCUUCUUCACCUGGUUGGUGGCAUGAAUGGCAAGUUGCCAAAUGAUAUUAGAGUACGGGUUGUACAUUUAAUCACCUAGUUGGUGGCAUGAAGGAGAGUACGGGUUAUACAUUUCAUCACCUGGUUAGUGGCAUGAAGAUAAGUUCCUUCUUCACCUGGUUGGUGGCAUGAGUGGUAAGUUGCCAAAUGAUAUUAGAGUAGGGGUAGUACAUUUCAUCACCUAGUUUGUGGCAUGAAGGAGAGUACGGGUUGUACAUUCCAUCACUUGGUUGGUGGCAUGAGUGGCAAGUUGCCACAUGAUAUUAGAGUAUGGGUUGUACAUUUCAUCACCUGGUUUGUGGCAUGAAGGAGAGUACAAGUUGUACAUUUCAUCACUUGUUGGUGGCAUGAAGAUGAGUUCCUUCUUCACCUGGUUGGUGGCAUGAGUGGCAAGUUGCAAAUGAUAUUAGAGUACGGGUUGUACAUUUCAUCAACUGGUUUGUGGCAUGAAGAUGAGUUCCUUCUUCACCUGGUUGGUGGCAUGAGUGGCAAGUUGCCAAAUGAUAUUAAAGUAUAGGUUGUACAUUUCAUCACCUGGUUGGUGGUAUGAAAGAAAGUACGGGUUGUACAUUUCAUCACCUGGUUGGUGGCAUGAAGGAGUGGUGGCAUGAAGAUGAGUUCCUUCUUCACAUUUCAUCACCUAGUUGAUAUCCACAGGGAUAACAAGCUCGCGUGUUUGAGUAAGGGUAAGAUGUCGAGGCACAUUGUAGCAAGUGUCGAAUGAUACAAAGUAUGUCGAACCUUUUCGAAGCACAGUUGGCUUAUGUAUGAAUGUGUUGGAAUGUAUGAUUGAACGAAUAUACUGUGAAGCUGUUCGUUUAUUUGUAUAGUCUUGUUGACAUAGACUAUGCUUCAUGUUGAAAGCAUUCAUGUUGAAGCUUUGAACCCGAGUGGUUUAUUGCUAGGAAUGUAAGAGGAUUAUGACCGAGUUGUCUAAAUCACCUCUUUAUUGAAUUCAUGCCAAAUAGUCUUCGUUACAUAGGAUACCGAACGACUGAAGUUUAACACUUGUACAAUGUGAGUUUACUUGUAAUAGUACUUUCAAGUGAUCAGCUUUCCAUGGAUGGCCAAAGGUCUUGCCAUCGGAGCUUAUAAGCUUGUAGGAGCCAGGGCGACUGAUGCCAACAACUUCAAACGGUUCAUCCCAGUUUAGACUAAGUGUUCCUUCACUCGGGACUCUGUCGCAGAGUAAUCUUUUCUUCAAUACCCAGUCCCCCACUUUGAAAAAAUGAGGUUUGGCCUUUGAGUCAUAGUAGUUGGAGAUGCUCUGGAUGUCUUUUGAAGUUACUGGUUCCUUCAUGUCGAGGAUUGCUUUGAUCUUCUCGGGAUUAGCCUCAAUGCCUCAUUGGCUUAUCAUGAAGCCUAAGAAUUUGCCAGAGCCUACGCCGAAGGCACAUUUGUUGGGGUUCAACCUUAUUCGAUACCUCUUCAGAAUGGUGAAAGUUUCAGAAAGGUUGGUGAUGUGUUGGUCAUCAUGUUUACUCUUGACUAGCAUAUUGAUAGGAUUUUUACUACUCAUGUGAAUGCGAUAAAAACCUCCUAUUUUACUUGCAAGAAUCACAAGGUUAUUGUAAUAUAAACGGAUUUCGCAAGGUCAUUCUCCACAGGGAUUAUUAAAUAAUUCAAAACAAACCAGAUUUCAAUUAAUGAUUGUAAUGUAGAAAUUUAGAUGAUUGAUUUUAUAAUCUACUUAAAGUAAAAACGAAUUUAAUGAAUUCAAAUAGAUAAUCUGCAAUAUUAAAGCUAGAGAGAAGAAAACAGUUAUGAAAAAAAAUCAAAUUGAGAAGGCACUAGGGUUCCACCAUCACCUAGCAAUCCUAUGAAUUUUUACCCAUUACUUAUGAUCUACACAUACCCCUUUGAAGGUUAGAUUUUCCUAAUUCAUAUUCUACUUGGAACCUCCAACAUAGAACGUAUAUCUAACAUGCAACCCGUCCGGACGUUCGGAUCAAAUAUGAACAUGAAAGACUCAUUAUGCUUUAUGAAAAUCCUUUGAAAAACCAUGCAAUCCUUAAGACGUGAUAUUCAUCCUAAGCGAAAUUACAAUUAUUAAUCACAAGAAGCCAACGUCAAUUUCAGGGAACCUUCCGACCAAAAUUGCAUCAAAUUACUUUUCUAAAGAUCCUAAUGGUGAUUAGGCAUUAAAACAAUUAGAUAGUUUUUAUCACGGUGAUUAACAAUUCAAAGUACACAUGCAAUCGAUCAUAAGAAAUUAAAUAAAAAUCACAUAUUCAUGCUAAGGCUCAAGGCUUCGCCCUAGCAAAAGAAAUUAGUUCCGCAUAUUCAUAAUUGUAAUCAUAUAAAUAUUUCUUAAGAAAAGGAUUGAAAACACCUUCAAGUAGAAAAUCUUCAAAACCCUAGCACUUCUCUCUGUCUCCAAUAUUGCAUAAAAGAAAGCGUCCCCUAAAACUGUAGACGGCCAAGCAAUAUAUUUGCUAAGCCACCACACAAACCCUAGCAAACAAAACCCUAAAUUAAAUAAUAAAAUUCGUCUAAAAACUGAACAGCCACGUUUUGGCCCAUAAGCUGCUCCAAAACUAGCCCAAUAUAGCUGGAUUUAAUGUUUGGAAUAUUCUGAACACUUUUCCAGAAGGCCACGAACCCAUCCGAGGUCAUCUUGGGCUCCAAAAACGCAAUUUAAGCCCAAAAACGUCACUUUCCAACACUGCGCACUGCUUCUUUAUUUCAUCGUCAGAAAAUCACCGCUUGGUGGAAAAAUCCCAAAUUUUGAUACGAUCAAGCUAAGUGACUAACGAACGUCCUCCAACUGGAAUUACUCCAAAAUUCGUCCAUUUGGUCCUGUUUUGCUCCAGAGGAAGUCGAAAGUCCUAUAUUGAAAAUACAAUUCAAAGUAUCAAAAUUCUUCCAAUAUAUUAACCAAAAUAUACUAAGAUUAGGGUAAAAUAUAUAAUAUAAAAUCUACUCAUCACAUAUCAUCAACGUAAACUUCCAUGCUCUUCUCAAUCUGUUCAGCGAACAUUGAAUUGACCAAUCUCUAAUAAGUCGCUCCUGCAUUCUUUAGGUCGAAGGGCAUGACUUUAUAGCAAUAUAAUCCCCUGUCAGUAGUGAAGGUUGUGUAUUCUUGCUCCGGAGGGUUCAUGAGGAUUUGGUUGUAUCCUGAGUAAGCAUUCAUGAAGCUCAGGAGUUCACACCCUGCUGUAGAGUCUAUAAGUCUAUCUUUGAGAGGAAGAGGAAAGCUAUCAUUCGGGCAUCCUUUGUUUAGGUCGGUGUAGUCGACACACAUUCUCCACAAGACCUUUUGAAGCAAGAGACUUUCUUUGGUCGGAUUUUCUUAACAAAGACCACAUUUGCCACUCAUGUUGGGUAAUUGACUUCGCGGACGAAGCCUAUGCCUUUGAGUUUUUUAACUUCUGCCUUCAUUGCUUCGCAUCAUUCAGUGUCAUAAGUUCUUCAUUUCUAUCUCACUGGCUUGGUCUUGGGGCCAAUACUCAAGCGAUGAUAUAUGAUAUCGGGAGAGAUACCUGGCAUGUCUUCGUAUGACCAGGCGAAGACCUCAGUGUUCUCUUGCAAAAAAGAGAUCAAUGCCAACCGAAUGGGUGGUGACAAGGUGGUGCCAAUCUUCACCAUACGAUCUGGAUAAUCUUUUGAUAUAGAAACCUUCUCCAGCUCUUCAACGGGUUGUGCUUGCUGGGUGAAAGAGUCAUCUCGAGGAUCGUCGGCCUUACUGUUGCCACCGUGAAGAUCCAAGUUGGCUUCGUCCGGGCUGGUCUUAUGACUUGGUCAUGUAUAGAAAAGGUUUCCUUGGGUACAGGCAGGUGUUGUUGCUUGAUCGAAGUGUUGUAACAUGAUUGUGCACUAAGUUGAUCUCCUAUGAUGUAACCAUUGCCAUAGGGGGUUGGAAAUUUUUUCAACAACAUAUGUGUGGAUACCAUGGCCUUGAGAUCAUUGAUGCCUGUGCGUCCGAAGAUGACAUUGUAUGUCGUUGGGCAAUCAACCACCAAGAAAUUAGUGGUAAUAGUAGCUGUGUAAGGGUAUGUACCAAUGGUGAAAGGUAAGUGUAUGCUCCCCAAAGGUUGCACGAUAUCAUCGGAGAAGCUUAUUAGAGGGAAAAUCGAGUGAUCAAGCAAGUGUUCAGCUACAUUAAGUGACCUUAAAGCUUCAGCAAAUAUGAUAUUGACCGAAGCCCUUGUGUCUACCAGGAUUCGUCGUACUUCAAAGUUGGCUAUGUGAGCUUCCACGAUCAGUGGGUCGUUGUGAGGGUAGAUGAUACCUCUUUCUUCCUCAGGGUAGAAACAUAUUGGAUCCCAGUUAGGCUUUUGAUACUUACCUCCCCUGAUGUCUUCCACGUGAAACACGUGGUGGCCAGACCUUAAAGCUCAUUCACUAUUUUUCAUAGCCUUGUUGGAAGAUUUAGAUAUGGGUGUGCCACCACUUAUGGAAUUGAUCAAUUGGAGGGUGAAGGAGGAAUUGAUCAAUUUUUCCUUCACGUGGCAAAGCUUCAAUAUGAUCACGAAGGGUGAUAUUUCUCGCCGUCAUGGCUGUUAUGCUCAUGGUAGCAGCAAAACAUGCCCGUGUUGUUCAUGGGCUUGUAAUCCGGGUGCCUUAGCUUUGGCUUCGGUACUAGGUGUGCUAUGCUGGGGUAAAUGGCCACGCAUAUGGCGAUCAAAGGUGUGUAUGUUGGAAAUGUGCCCUAAAACCAAUCAUAUGAUGAUACUUUACGGACAUUUCACAUGUUAAACUAAUCUAGUUUAAUAUCAAGGGUAAAGAUUAUUGUUUGAGCCAUCUCAUAUAAAUGUUAUACGCUUAAACGAUAAGUCCAAGGAAUAUGUGAUUGGGAGAAUGCUAUCUAAAGAAGUUAGAUUCAUGAGACCAUUCUUUUGUAGACACAUCCUAAACAUUCCUGAUCAUAGGAUUGCCAAUUGGGCAUUGACAGUCCGUUAAGAUCAGUACGUGCUGUGUCUUCUCUCAGGGAGAGUGACUAGUCUCGAGUCAUUGGUGUGUGUGACAUCAAGACAAGCAUGUAGAUGCUCAAUAAUGAAUGAGUCCAUUGAACACGAUCAACAAGGAGUUCUCAUACUCAUGUCACAUGAGAACUCAUGGUUGGGAUAUGCAAAGUAGUCUUUUGACCUGAGGCAUCAUAGUUGUCUUGUGGUUAAGUCCUUGAUCUUUGAUUAUGUCAAAGUCACUCCAUCAGGAGGGUGUCCAUGGCAUAGUCGGGGUUAAGCCACUUAGCCAUGAAGGCAAGUGAAUGCGCAACAAGGGAUCUCUAACCUUCAAACCGUUUGGGGGUGAAUACUCUAUGAUAUGAUUAAGAAUCUCUGGCCAGAGUAUGAAUGAGAUUUAUGAAGUCGUUCCAAAUCACAUUCAAGGUAAUCAUAUAAGCACACGAAUCACAUUGGAUAGUAGACAUGAAUAAACUAUCAAACCAAACAAUGUGGUCAAGAGUAUUGUAUUAGAGAAAUACCGUAUUGCAUUUGUAAUCCUAAACUGAAUAGGUUCUCCACCUCUUCUGAUUAGCUUGGGUAACCAUGAUAUACUGCUAGGUGUCACUCAUGGUUUGUGGAAGCCCUAAACGUGUAUAAUCACUAAAGGGAGAAUUGAAAGUAAGUUUCAAUUCACAAUCGAUUUGAAAUGGUUUUAAUCGCCCACUGCCUCGCUAAAAGGAACCUAAUGGAUCGUACACCGUGUAAGGUGGAGAUUGAAGAAACAAUAGAGAUGAGUAACAAUAAUUAAAUGGUUUAAUUAUUUAUGGCAAGGAUUAAUUAAUAUGUUAAUUAAUCAAACGAAUAAGUUCGUUAAAGACCUCGAGAUAGUUUUGGGCCUCAAGGCCCAAUGGGCUUCGAACGUCAAGCCCAUUGACUUAAGUUGUAUGACAACUUAAUGACAAAUAAUUCACAAAGGCCUUAAAAGCCCAAUGAAACCCUAUGGCCGGCCAUUUUGUUAAAGGAGUGGGUUUUGGACUUAAUUACAAGUUUGCCACUCCAAUGAAUAAAGGUAUAAAUAUGACUUUAUAGCCAAAAUUCAUUUAGGGUUUUCUUUUGGGGAAAAGAUGAGAACAUAAGCUCUCCUUUCUCUCUAAAGUGGUCGGCCUCCUUGGAGGGUUUAGCUAGCAAUCCUACUAUUCUAAGGUCACUCAUUUCUUCUCCAAUCUAACCUUGGUGAAGAAACUUAGAGGUUCUCAAUUUUGGGAACUUGGAGAACCAUUUCAUCCAUCCAAAUCCAUAGAUCUAAGAUGCAAGGAAUGAAGGCCCUCUCUUUGGGUGAUUAGCCUUUGCUUAUGCAAAGAGGAAUCUACAAAGGUAUAAUUUCUCAACUAACAAAUGUUGUUUUAAGUUGAGUCAAGGUUCACCAAUCUACUAGGCUUUGAAUUUAAUGGGUAAUGUUUUGUUUUGAGUGCAUGCAAGCAUGAUUCCGCCUUUAAUUUGUUACUUGCAUGCUAUAGAUGUUGCUCAAAUGAACAUGUUUUUCACAAUAUUUCCUUCAGUGUAUGCCUCAUACCUCGAGGUAGGGGCUGUCCUAACAUGUGUUUGACCUACUGUGCUAACUGCCUGUGGUCGGGGAUUAUUAUGGCGAUACCCUUGGUUAUUGCGGUAGUGGCAUUUACUUCUUUUACUAAAAUGAGAUUGGUGAGGAUGGAAAUCUUUCCUUUUGCUCUGAGAUUGAUAUGUCUGUUGACUUGGCAAAGUAUUAAGUAGGGCAGGGGGAGGCACCGCUGCUGUUUGGAAGGUCGAGGUCUUCUUAUUUGGUUGGAUCUGGCUUUCACUCCCUACUUGCUGAUAAGGGGUGGCUGUGGGGGGUUUCCCUUGAUAUGUCAUUGCCUCAACGGAGCCAUGGUUGUAAGCAUGUGCCAUCACCUCAUAGUAAGUCUUCCAAGUGUUGGCAUUGAUCAUAUACUUGAAGAAACAAUCACGUAGGCCUACCGUGAAGGCCUUGAGGGUGGUCUUGUCAUCUGCCUCAGCGCAGCGAGAAUACUCAUGGCUGAAACGACCAGUAUACUCUUAUAGUGACUCGUCCGGCUUCUGGCGAAUAGUGUACAAGUCAUCUGCAGAAUGCAAGCGAUCGGUCUAGAAGAUGUGUUAAAAGACAAAUAGUUUCCUUAAUUCCUCAAAUGAGUCUACCGUCUCAGGUGGAAGACGGCAAUACCAGUUUAGAGCUCCACCAUAGAGGAUAGAGGGGAAGAGAAGACAUCUUUCUUCGUCGUUAUGCAUCCAGUAUGCCAUGGUGGACUAAAAAAGGUUAAGGUGUUCAAUCAGAUCCUCAUUUCCAGUAUAGAGUUGCAAGCCAAGCUUCUGCUUUGUCUUUGCUUGGAGGGGGUGUCGAUGAUCCUCCUUGUAAGGGGGCCAGGCCUAGGUUGGUUCCAAUCAGGUAUCUCAGCUUGUCGUUCGACCUUCAACUUGUUUACUUCCUUAAUAAGCUGUAGAAUAAGAGGGUCCUGAGUGGAGUCAUGUACCACUAGAGCUUUCUUUUGUAAAUCUCCAUCUUCUCUUGGAAGUAUGAAGGUUUGAUCAAGAGCAUGUGACUUGUUACCGCUUCCCCAAAUUGGUAGCCGGCCUGGGACAUGGGAGGGGACCGAGUCUUUUAGAGACCUUUGGGUCAUUGAUCUUCGAGGUUACAUAGAUGGGAUUGUCUCGACGUUGCUUUAGGAAAUCUCGAUAGUCGCGAAAGACGGCUUUCGAUCCUUCCACUCCUUCUGUAAGGAGGUGUUUUCCUCCAUUUCUCCUGCUUCAGGUCGAAGUAGCUGGGUUAAGAGAAGUCUCAUGUUGAUCAAUGUUUUGAUGAUUAGCUCACUCCUCAUCAGGGAUACCUAUGUUGAAGGAAGGUGACCCUCCGUGUUGGGGGGCACCCAGAUGAUGGUUGAUGUCCACAUGGGUAGUACGCCUAGUUUCGUGGAGCGUCUCAAAGAGCUUCUCAUACUGCUCCUGGAGGACCUCAUUCUUCAUUGCUAUCAUGUUGUUCUGAGGUUCUAGCUCAUCAACUUUAGCUUGAAGAGUAACCCUCUUUCCUUCCUUCUUUCGUUGCUUCGCACCAAGUGCAAGAGGGGUGUCAUUCUGUGUGUUGUAGCUUCCUUCGCUCCCCAUGUUGGAAAAGGAUGCCUGGUCAAAAGAGAGUGUACGAAUGGUGGAAAUCAGCUUAACAAAGCUGAAGAGAGUGGGAAUAAGUGUCGUUCCCAUAGACGGCACCAAAUGUUGAUGCACAAAAUCAGUGAGGACUUUGGUACAACAGAAAGUGUUAAGUUUGUGACCUUUGCUAGAUUACUCCGGUCACUAAUGUGGAUAAGUAUGUAAAUGGAUAGAGACAGGGCAGCAAACACAAGAUGUACGUGAUUCACCCAGAUUGGCUACGUCCACGGAAUAGAGGAGUUCUCAUUAAUUGUGAAGGGUUUACACAAGUACAUAGGUUCAAGCUCUCAUUUUGUGAGUACUAGUGAAUGAUUUAGUACAAAUGACAUUCGAAAAUAUUGUGAGAGAAUGAUCUCUAUUUAUAGAAAAGAGUUUCUAGUUUCAUUCUGACAUUGACACGUGUCGUGUUGUGAUUGGCUUUUGAUGUUGACACGUGUCGCGCUAUGAUUGGCUUCUAAUGUCGACACGUGUCGGGCCGUGAUUGGCCUCCUGGUUGGAGGGAAACUCUUCUGGGUCCUUGACGGUAUAAUAUUGACCGGUGCUCAGUAGUUUUGGGAUUGGUCAAGUAUGGUAUAAACAUAAUAUAAUAAGAAUAAAAGCUAAAACCUCAUCAAUAAGAAAGAAGCCCACGUGUAAAACUAAAUUUCCUUUUUCUAGCCGAUGUUGCUGAUGGAAGUCUCAUUUUGUCAAUCCAUUCCCUCAAAAAGUUGAAUUUUUCCCAUUAGGCUUUGAAUUAACUGAAGUUUGUCUAGGUCACCCUCCCAUUAAAUAUUUGUUUGGUUGUGUCCAUGUAAUGCCCUAAAAAUUAAAAAUAUAUGAGUAUGUGGAGUAAAUCAAGAAUAUAUAGAUUUAAAUUUUAAAAUUUUGUUUCUGGGAUUUAUUAUAAUUUACGUCAAAAUUUUUAUCGAUAAGUGGAAAAGAUGAAAAUGCCCCUAGUUGACUAACUGUAAUUUUACGAGGACAUAUUUUAUCCUCAUAUAUUUUAUCGUAUUUCUUGAUAUAAUUGGAUAGAGCUCGACCCUACGAAAGCGUGGGCAAAAACCAUUUGUGAAUUGGAGUUGACACGAAGAAAUUGGAGGCUUUGAAAAAAAAAAGAAAAAAAAAAGAGUCUGAAAGCUGCCAGAUGGCAGCGUGAGAGAGGAGAAAAAGGAGAUAUGAGGGAGAGAAGAAGAGAGAAAGGGGACCAAUCGGGAGAGAGAGGAGAAAAAGGAUAGGAAAAGAGGGAGAAGGAACCGAAUCCUCUUCGACCCGCUGACCCGACCUGGCCGUAUCUUCUGAUUUUGGCCACCGUUGACGAUGGAACUGGUGCCAGAAUGAUCCUUACUUCAAACCCAGUCGUUCUCUCUCCCAUUUCCAUCGAAAAAUUGAUGAAAUUGGAUUGAUGAAAUUGGCUUCAAUUCGUCAAAACUCUAAGCUAACUCUGACCGUCACCACUAGCAAUAGUCUCCCCUCAAUUUCAGGAACAAAGCCUAAGCAAUGGUUGGGGCGUCAGAGUUUGUUUUGAGGUCAAAUAGAGAACACCUAUUUCUAUGGUUUUCAACAGUCCAAGGUUGAUUUCAGGUGUUUCCUGACCGAAUUGGACUUCAUCCCAGGUAUGAAAGUUGUUCCUAUCAUUGAACUCUAAUUGCCUAUUAAAUUUGGUAAUUUUUAGAGUUAGUCGGAAAAUUGGUUUCCAUUCGUCAAAAACCCCCACCAGUGGUGGCGCAUAGCCAGUGGGUCGACGCUACCUUUUCAUCAAUUUUUGAUAUUUUAAAUCCGUAAUUGGUACCCAUUUGAGGUGAUUCGAUUGUGAAAGCUAAUGUUGAAUAUUUCCAUUACUAGAAUAUGUUCAAAAAUAAACAAAAGAAUGAAUGGUGAACUACGAAAGGCUUUAUCCCGCAUCAAGGGUACAUAGGCAGUCUAACAGGGGUUAGAUGCAAAUGAUCCUACCUUACAAUAUGAGAUAUUAUUGGUGUUUGUGGAUGUGAAUUGUAAAUUAUAAAUUGCAUUAAUAUUGCAUUAUUUUGUAAGUUCUAUGAGUAUGAAGUUAUGUGGAAUGCAUAUGUUGUGAAUCAUCAUGAAUGGAAUUGAAUGGGAGUAGGAAAUUUUUAAAAUAUCGUAUUCAUGUUAUAGCUUUGAAGAUGAGCGUUUGAUUUAAAGUUUCGGAUUAAUCUUGAAUUGGGUUGAUAUUAUGUUAUGCAUUAUGAAAAUGUUGAAUGUUAAGAGGAUUGUUUAAUUGUGACAAGUAGUUAGGAAAGUCGUAUUAUACCUAUGCAAUUGAGAAAGGUUGAUUUGGGUGAAAAGGCCUAUGGAUGUUGAUUUGGGCGUGUUGACCCGUGGAAUGGGAGGAAUGUUUGUUUGGGCAAAAUGGCCCAUGGAUGUUUGUUUGGGCAAAAUGGCCCAUGGAUGUUGAUUUGGGCAAAAUGAGCCGUGAAAUGUGGAGAAAUAAUUGAAUUGGCACAAAGACCCAGUGUUUCCGGGAGAAAAGCUCCAUGGGUGGGCUGUGAGAAUGAGUUAUCAAUGUGAAGUGUAUCAACCAGGUAUAUUACAAUCUUUUCCAGUUGCUAGUCAUCUUUUGGGAUAAAAGAAAAAGGUGAUGAAAUUGUUGUUUUGCCAAUGAUAUUUAUGACUGAAAUUUUUAAUAUUUACGAAAAUCAAGAUGAAAUUUAUCGAACAGGAAAGAAAUCAUAAAUCGAAGUUAUGAAUUGUUCAUUAUAAUUGGAAUGGUGGGAAAACCAGGGAGAUUUCUUCAUUUAUUGAAUUAUUGGUGGACAUGAAUAAUAGAAUGAGAAUUUGAGUUCGUUUAAUAUAAACGGAAAUUGCGGAUUGGUUUUAAGUUCCUUAUUUUUAUAUAGUGAUUGUGAUUAGAAGUUCCAAUGAUUUUCGAUGGAAUUUCUAACAUUUGGGUUGCCAAUUUUGUUGGUUUGACUUGAAAUUGUAAUAUUUACAUAGCCAUUGAUGAUUAUGGUUUGAAAUUCUGAUAUUUAUUUGGCCGAUAAUGGCUACGAUGGAAUAUAUAAGAUAUGAAUCUACGUUGGAUGGGGUCGAACUCGUCGGGGAGCUUCAGACAGCGUGAAGGUAGAGAGGAACAUUUUGGUCGCCACCUCUUGGGACAGCCAGAUAUGUAUGUAAGUAGCCUUAUAUUUGGAUGCUAAGAAUGUUUUUCUAUAGGAUUAGAUCGGGAUUCAAUUUCAGUCAUCAGGCUACCAGGCAAUAUAAUAUAUGAUUGGGAUUCACAUAUAAUUAUUUACUACAAUAUGCUUAUUGCUUAUGUAAUAUGUAUGUAUGGAUGAUUCAUGGUAACUGAAAUAGAUACAUCAUUGGAUUGAAUUUAUAAUUUCUUUUCUUAUCUGUGCAACCAAGCGAAGUUUAUUUGUAGGAUUAAGUAGUGACUGCUGGUAUGCCCGUUUUUAUGUUGUAUUGCAUUGAAAAUUUUUGGACAUUUAUGCUUCUGCAAGAAAAAGAUAAGACAUUUUCCAAUUGUUAGGCAUUUGCGUUGCUUUUCUUUUGAACUCUAAACUCAUGUUAAUUGCAUUUCUAGUGGAGCUGUUAGAAAUGAGUAGGAAGACACUAUGCAGUUUUUAUCCCAUAUAAUAUGUAUAUGUCAAACUGAUCUGCUGCUCAGUUUUUAUCCCUUUUAAUAUAAUAUAAUCAUUCAUAUUAACGUAGAUUUAUGAAGACUUAUUGACAAGUUGUGUUUAGGUUUUAUAUUAUUGUCCACUUCACUGUCACUGAAUGUAUUGCUCAAGUUAUGGAUUAGUUACUCGCUAAAAGUAAAAACCUUUUGCUACUUGUGAAUUUGCAUUAGCUAGUGAUUUUAAACCAACCAACAAGUUUCAUGCUUGUCUAGAAAGAGAUUAUAUUAACUUGAAGGUUCUGCAAUGAAAGCUAACAAAAAUUCUUGUUUAAUUCCUUACAAAAAUUCAUUGUUAUUAUUGUGAUAUAUUAACAUAACGAUAUGCCAUUCAUAUGAUGUAGGUUUAUGAAGACUUGUUGACAGGUUGUGUUUAGAUUUUAUAUUAUUGUCUGCUUGACUACCACUUAAUGUACUGAUCGAGUUAUGGAUCAGUUGCUAGCUAAAAGUAAAAAUCUUUUGCUACUUAUGAAUUUGCAUUAGCUAGUGAUUUUAAACCAACCAACAAGUUUCAUGCUUGUCUAGACAGAGAUUAUAUUAGCUUCAGGGUCCUGUAAAAAAAGCUAACAAAAAUUCUUGGUUAAUUCCUCAAGGAGCUUUUCAUUUAUGUGAAUUCAUUUGAAAUUCUUACAAACUCAUACAAAAAUUCAUUGUUAUUAUUGUGAUAUAUUAACAUAACGGUAUGACCAUUCUUAGAUGUAGGCUUAUGAAGACUUGUUGACAGGUUGUGUUUAGGUUUUAUAUUAUUGUCCGCUUGACUACCAUCAAAUGUAUUACUCGAGUUAUGGAUCAGUUGUUAGCUAAAAGGAAAAGCCUUUAGCUAUUUGUGAAUUUGCAUUAGCUAAUGAUGUUAAACCAACCAACAAGUUUCAUGCUUGUCUAAAAAAAUGUUGUAUUAGCUUCAAGGUCCUACAAAGAAGCUAACAAAAACUCUUGAUUAAUUCCUUAGGGAUCUUUUGAUUUAAUUGAAUUCUUUUUCAAAUCUUACAAAAUCUUACAAAAAAUUUUGUUUAGUAUUGUGAUAUAUUAACAUAAUGGUAUGAUCAUUCAUAGGAUGUAGGUUUAUGAAGACUAGUUGAUAGGUUGUGUUUAGGUUUUAUAUUAUUGUUCACUUGUCUGCCAUUGAUUGUAUUGAAGGCAAUCAUUUUCUUGUUAAUAUAGCUAGAUUUGCUUUUAUUGCCCUUGAGUAAUUUGACCUUUGAAUAGAUUAAUGGUAACAUAAAGUAUGGUCAUUCAUAUCAUGUAUGUUUAUGAAGUCUUGUUGACAAGUUGUGUUUAGAUUUUAUAUCAUUGUCCGCUUGACUGCCAUUGAAUGUACUGAGGCCAAUCAUUUACUUGGUGAUUUUUUUUCAGUCUAGGUGAUUUGUGUGGUUUGAUAUUGUAUGUUCUUUUUUGGAGUAUAGCGAGUUGGGAAAUCUUUUCUUUUCAAAUUAAUUUCGUUUGCUUUGUUUCAUCCUACAAGUGUAGCUAAAACUUCAUAAUCUAGAUAUUCUUGAUGAGCCUCUACUGUGGACUGAGAGUACAGACAUAACAAGAAAUUUGGGGGUAUUCAUGACGGCACGACCAUAGUCCUAUGAAAUAAACUAAAGGAGAUAACUAGAGAUGGAAAGUUGUACCUGUGAAAUGUGUGUUUCUUAUGAAAUGUUUGUUGCAUUCGUGUAAAACAGUUGAAACAUUUUUUUUAUACAUAUUUUGAAAGUUAUGACUACAUAUGAUUUGUUAGGAAAGUUUAGGAAAAGUAAAGACAUAAGCCCUAAUUGAAGUAUUACAAAUUUUAGCUCCCCUAAAAAUACUGUUCAGAAAUUUUUUGACUUGACUCUUUCACGAAAUUUGUAGACCUUGUUAUUACGAGCAUUUAUAUAUAUAUAUAAUUUUUUUUUUUUACACCUUUCAGACGUUUAGAUUAAUUUUUACUAAUUUUUUUUUUCAAGUCAUAGGCAAAACAUUAUUCACAAGAGUUUGUAUGGUUUUAAAAAUUCAAAAGAUGAUAUAACCAUGGUAAAAGUGUAGAGGAUGUGAUCCCGAGCAUUGUAAUGUUUUUAUUUUCACAUUUUUUCGCACUCGAAAAGUAAUUAUUAUGAAUUAUUACACAUUUUUAACACCCUUAAAAACACUAUUCAUGAGGAUUUUUAUGGUUUUAAACCAAACGACUAUAAAAUCAUUGCCAAAGUGUAGAUGGUGUGAUCACAAUCGUUACCAUAUUUUUUUCACAUUUUGCACACAUAUAAUUAAUUAUUAUGAUUUUCUUCAUAUAAUUUGAUUUUCCUACAAAAUACUAACGCACGAUUAAAUAUUCAUAAUAAUUAAUUAACUAGUGUGAAAAAUGUGAAAAAAUAUGACAACGCUCAUGAUUGCAUCAUUUACGCUUUGACAAUUACUUCAUCAUCAUUUGGAUUUUUACAACCCUCCAAACCCUAACUAACAAUAUUUUUAGGGGGAGUGAUUAUUAUAAAAAUUCAUUAUAAUUAACUUAGAAAUGAGAAAAAUGUGAAAAGAUGUACCAACAUUCAAGACCACAUACUCUAUGCUUUUGCAAGGUUAGAUAGUCAUUUGUAUUUUUGCUACCCUCCAAACCCUUAUGAAUAGUGUUUUUCUUAUGACUUCAAAACAAUUAAAAAAAGAGUAAUAAUUAGUUUACUUGUGUGAACAAAAAAAAAACAAAAAAAAAACAAAAAAAACAAAAAAAAAAAACAAAAAGAAACUCUCGUAAUGACAUGGCCUAUAAUUUUCAUAAAGGAGUUAACUCCAAAGCUCAACACCAUAAUCCAUACACCUUAGUGACAAACUCUAACCAUCCGAUUGUCGUUUACGUUUACCCUUUAAUUUUUUAUCACCGGAAACCCUUUUCUGGAGUUUCUUUUUUGAAAACAUGAAAUUGUAGUGAAUUGAAAAAGAUAAACGGUUUGAAUCAUUGAUAUCACGUUUUGAUUUUUAGGUUUAUUGCAAAUAUUACUCUUUGUUUAUAAACUCUCUAGAUAUUAUAGAACAUUGACUAAUAUUUGAACAAAUCUUAAAUUUUCAAACAUGUUAUCAAUGAUUCAAAUCAUUCAUCUAUUCCACUAAAAUAUUAUGUUUUGAAAAAAGAAAGAUCGAAAAACCUGUGAUGAUAAAUCAAAGCGUAACGUAAAUGACAAUCUGAAGGUUAAGGUUUGUCCUUAAAAUUUUUGGAUUCUAGGCUCCUGUUUUGGAUUUCACUCUGUUGAUGCACAAAAUCAGUGAGGACUUUGGUAUAACAGAAAGUGUUAAGUUUGUGACCUUCGCUAGAUUGCUCCGGUCACUAGUGUGGAUAAGUAUGCAAAUGGAUAGAGAUAAGGAAGUAAACAUAAGAUAUACGUGGUUCACCCAGAUUGGCUACGUCCACAGAGUAGAUGAGUUCUCAUUAAUUGUGAAGGGUUUACACAAGUACAUAGGUUCAAGCUCUCCUUCAGUGAGUACUAGUGAAUGAUUUAGUAUACAUUAGAAAAAAAAUUGGGGAGAAUGAUCUCCUUUUAUAGAAGAGUUUCUAGCUUUGUUUUGACAUUGACAUGUGUCGUGUUGUGAUUGGUUUCUGAUAUUGACACUUGUCGUGCUGUGAUUGGCUUCUGAUGUCAACACAUGUCGCACUGUGAUUGGCCUCCUGGUUGGAGGGAAACUCUUCUGGGUCCUUGACGGUAUAACGUUGACUAUUUCUCAGUAGUUUCGGGAUUGGUCAAGUAUGGUACAAAUAGUGCUCCCUUAAGUUCCCGAGUGAGGAAAGCUCCUCGAUUGGGGACUUGCAAGAUCCAAGCCGCUGAGUAAUAACAAAACUUCUAAGUAUUGAAGUGUGGUAUCGUUUUCACUUGCCUUAUCUGUCUCAUAGGUGGAUGUGGCAUCUUCUCUUAAAGUACUUUUCCUCCAUCCAGAGGUGGUAUCCUUAACCGGUGGAGAUGCACAAGGUAAUGUAUCAAUUUCACUUAAAGCUUACUUGUAGUUUCAGGCUUGGUCAAGCGUGAUACAAACCAUGUAGUAAGAGUCGCCCAAGUCGCCGAGCUAGGAGAUCCACCAAAAAAGGUGACAGACAAUGUGAGCAAUCAGAGCUCCCAGCAAUCAGUCCCAGAUCAGAAGUUUGAUUUCGAGUUCUAGCUGAUUAUUCUCAUUCUCCCUAUCUUGCAGGCAUCAGGAAGGAUAAAGAGAAGAAAAAAGAGAAGAUAUGAUAUGAUAUGAGAUACUUUUGCUUUUGAAGAAGUAACUUUCCACAUGCUUAUUCUUGACUUAGGCUAGAAGGGUUUCUGGUUUCCUCUAGAGUAUAAGGUCAACUCAAGAAUUUGAGGGUCAAAACAUGUCCAUUAAAUCAAGAGUGCAUUCGACCUUGAUGAUAUGAGAUACUUUUGCUGUUGACAAAGUAACAGAUGAAUCGGCACGUGUUCUAUUGUGCUUGUCUCCACAUGCUUCCUUGUAUCCUUCUCACUUACCCUAUCUGUUUCUCAGGCAGAUGUGGUAUAUUUUCUGGAAGCAUAAGAUGUUGAAGAUGAGUAAUCGAGAGCAAUGCCAGGUAAGUAAUCAGGCAAGGAGUUCCAGGUAGUUAGUUCCUGACUGGAAGCUUGAUUCCAAGUGAUGACUGAUUGCUCUAUUUCUCCUUGUUUUGUAGGUAAGAACAAAGUCAAAGGAAAAGACAGGGAAAAAACAUGAUAUGGGAUACUCUUGCUUUUAACCCUGAUGAUAUGAGAUACUUUGGCUCUGGUGUGGCUUGUUUGCAGAGGUAUUUGGGGGGGGGGGAAUAAGCUUAGUAUUUCGAGAGACUCUGCUAAGAGUGCCCUCUCAGAUGUGAAGAAAAGUUGAGCAUUUUUUUAUUUGCAGGUUUGCCUAACUGUGGAGGAUGAAGGUCGACAUAUAUAGGAAUUGUCCCAAUAGCGAGUAGUAAUGUUGUUCCUUUACCUUCCUCGGUCAUAGCAAUGUAGUGGGAGUUGCAAGAUUCACGUGUUUUAACUUUGUCAGAGCACUUUGAAAAAAUGAUCUGUGGUAUCUGGAAAACUGAUGUUGCGUGUGAAGAUUGCAGAUAAGCUUUAUCCAAGGAAAUCUGGCUCUCGAAGUUCAGAGAGCGGUGCCUCUUCGAUUUUGGAACAAGCAAUCAUGUUAGGGAGCUGGCUUUUGAGAUUCAAAGAACAGUGCCUCUUCGAUUUUUGAGAAAGCAAUCCUGCUAGGAGUCUGGCUUUCAAGAUUCGGAGAGCGGUGCCUCUUUAAUUUUUGAGAAAGUAAUCAUGUUGGGAGUCUGGCUUUCGAGAUUUGGAGAGCGGUACCUCUUUGAUUUUUGAGAAAGUAAUCCUGUUGUGAGUCUGGCUCUCGAGAGUCGGAUAACGGUGCCUCUUCGAUUUUUGAGAAAGCAAUCUAGUGGGAGUUUGGCUCUCGAGAUUCGGGGAGAGGUGCCUCUUCGAUUUUUGAGCAAGUAAUCUUGUUGGAAGUGUUUUCUCGAUGUGAGUAAAGGUUGGGCAUUUUUGCCAGUUUGCCUUGCCACCGAACACGGAGGUUGACACGCACAAGGACUAUCCAGUUAUCAAGUAGUGGUGUUGUUCCUUUACCCAUGUGGGUAAUGCUAGGGUAGCUGGACCUUCAAAAUUUAUGUGUCUAAACUUUGUCAGAGAUCUUUGACAAAGUUAUCUGUGGUACCCGAUGAGCUGAUGUUGCAUGUGGGGAUUGUCGACAUAUUUUACUUAGGAAAAUCUACUUCUCAAAAUCCAGAAAGUGGUGCCUCUUCAUUUUUUGAACCAACGGCCCUGUUGCCCUUUCUUUUGUAGGGGCACCAAUUGUGUGCAAGAAGUACGUUCAGAAAGUUAUUGCUUGUAGGAAUUUUCCCCUUAUUUUUAUACUUCGGAGAUUUAUUGCACCUCAUUUUUCCUUCAUCAUUUCUGAGAAUGUCUGGCCCAUCCGACCAUCGUUUUAACUUGAACUUUAGUGAAGAGGUAGUCAUGCCUUCUCAAGACAACAUAUGGCGUCCAUCCUUCUUAUUGUUGGAAAUGUGCCCUAAAGCCAAUCAUGUGAUGAUACUUUACGGACAUUUCACAUGUUAAACUAAUCUAG